RNAcentral lists this ribosomal RNA (253 nucleotides) under uncultured bacterium. Its description in RNAcentral is "partial 16S ribosomal RNA". It matches the Rfam family "Bacterial small subunit ribosomal RNA", at positions 524 to 776 of the family's 1533-position model. The record is from RNAcentral.
UACGUAGGGGGCGAGCGUUGUCCGGAAUUAUUGGGCGUAAAGAGCGUGUAGGCGGUUCGGUAAGUCUGCCGUGAAAACCUGGGGCUCAACCCCAGGCGUGCGGUGGAUACUGCCGGGCUAGAGGGUGGUAGAGGCGAGUGGAAUUCCCGGUGUAGCGGUGAAAUGCGCAGAUAUCGGGAGGAACACCGGUGGCGAAGGCGGGUCUCUGGGCCGAUACUGACGCUGAGGAGCGAAAGCGUGGGGAGCGAACAGG